GAUGAACGCUGGCGGCGCGCCUAAUACAUGCAAGUCGAGCGAGCAGACGAGGAGCUUGCUCCUCUGACGUUAGCGGCGGACGGGUGAGUAACACGUGGAUAACCUACCUAUAAGACUGGGAUAACUUCGGGAAACCGGAGCUAAUACCGGAUAAUAUAUUGAACCGCAUGGUUCAAUAGUGAAAGACGGUUUUGCUGUCACUUAUAGAUGGAUCCGCGCCGCAUUAGCUAGUUGGUAAGGUAACGGCUUACCAAGGCAACGAUGCGUAGCCGACCUGAGAGGGUGAUCGGCCACACUGGAACUGAGACACGGUCCAGACUCCUACGGGAGGCAGCAGUAGGGAAUCUUCCGCAAUGGGCGAAAGCCUGACGGAGCAACGCCGCGUGAGUGAUGAAGGUCUUCGGAUCGUAAAACUCUGUUAUUAGGGAAGAACAAAUGUGUAAGUAACUAUGCACGUCUUGACGGUACCUAAUCAGAAAGCCACGGCUAACUACGUG
RNAcentral lists this ribosomal RNA (497 nucleotides) under uncultured bacterium. Its description in RNAcentral is "partial 16S ribosomal RNA". It matches the Rfam family "Bacterial small subunit ribosomal RNA", at positions 28 to 507 of the family's 1533-position model. The record is from RNAcentral.